Molecule: ribosomal RNA, 751 nt
Filed under: uncultured soil bacterium
Lineage: Bacteria
Description: bacterial SSU rRNA
Rfam family: Bacterial small subunit ribosomal RNA
Source: RNAcentral
AGAGUUUGAUCCUGGCUCAGAGUGAACGCUGGCGGCAGGCCUAACACAUGCAAGUCGAACGGCAGCACAGGAGAGCUUGCUCUCUGGGUGGCGAGUGGCGGACGGGUGAGGAAUACAUCGGAAUCUACCUUUUCGUGGGGGAUAACGUAGGGAAACUUACGCUAAUACCGCAUACGACCUUCGGGUGAAAGCAGGGGACCUUCGGGCCUUGCGCGAUUAGAUGAGCCGAUGUCGGAUUAGCUAGUUGGUGAGGUAAAGGCUCACCAAGGCGACGAUCCGUAGCUGGUCUGAGAGGAUGAUCAGCCACACUGGAACUGAGACACGGUCCAGACUCCUACGGGAGGCAGCAGUGGGGAAUAUUGGACAAUGGGCGCAAGCCUGAUCCAGCCAUGCCGCGUGGGUGAAGAAGGCCUUCGGGUUGUAAAGCCCUUUUGGUGGGAAAGAAAAGCAGUCGAUUAAUACUCGAUUGUUCUGACGGUACCCAAAGAAUAAGCACCGGCUAACUUCGUGCCAGCAGCCGCGGUAAUACGAAGGGUGCAAGCGUUACUCGGAAUUACUGGGCGUAAAGCGUGCGUAGGUGGUGAUUUAAGUCCGUUGCGAAAGCCCUGGGCUCAACCUGGGAAUUGCAGUGGAUACUGGGUCACUAGAGUGUGGUAGAGGGUAGCGGAAUUCCCGGUGUAGCAGUGAAAUGCGUAGAGAUCGGGAGGAACAUCUGUGGCGAAGGCGGCUACCUGGACCAACACUGACACUG